RNAcentral lists this ribosomal RNA (391 nucleotides) under fungal sp. FCAS41A. RNAcentral describes it as "SSU rRNA". It matches the Rfam family "Eukaryotic small subunit ribosomal RNA", at positions 69 to 461 of the family's 1831-position model. Lineage: Eukaryota; Fungi. The record is from RNAcentral.
GCACUUUAUACUGUGAAACUGCGAAUGGCUCAUUAAAUCAGUUAUCGUUUAUUUGAUAGUACCUUGCUACAUGGAUACCUGUGGUAAUUCUAGAGCUAAUACAUGCUAAAAACCCCGACUUCAGGAAGGGGUGUAUUUAUUAGAUAAAAAACCAACGCCCUUCGGGGCUCCUUGGUGAAUCAUAAUAACUUAACGAAUCGCAUGGCCUUGCGCCGGCCAUGGGUUCUUUCAAAUUUCUGCCCUAUCAACUUUCGAUGGUAGGAUAGUGGCCUACCAUGGUGGCAACGGGUAACGGGGAAUUAGGGUUCGAUUCCGGAGAGGGAGCCUGAGAAACGGCUACCACAUCCAAGGAAGGCAGCAGGCGCGCAAAUUACCCAAUCCCGAUACGGGG